AUGAACGCUGGCGGCGUGCUUAACACAUGCAAGUCGAACGAAGCACUUUAUUUGAUUUCCUUCGGGACUGAUUAUUUUGUGACUGAGUGGCGGACGGGUGAGUAACGCGUGGGUAACCUGCCUUGUACAGGGGGAUAACAGUUGGAAACGGCUGCUAAUACCGCAUAAGCGCACGGCAUCGCAUGAUGCAGUGUGAAAAACUCCGGUGGUAUAAGAUGGACCCGCGUUGGAUUAGCUAGUUGGUGAGGUAACGGCCCACCAAGGCGACGAUCCAUAGCCGACCUGAGAGGGUGACCGGCCACAUUGGGACUGAGACACGGCCCAAACUCCUACGGGAGGCAGCAGUGGGGAAUAUUGCACAAUGGGCGAAAGCCUGAUGCAGCGACGCCGCGUGGGCGAAGAAGUAUUUCGGUAUGUAAAGCUCUAUCAGCAGGGAAGAUAAUGACGGUACCUGACUAAGAAGCACCGGCUAAAUACGUG
This 480-nucleotide ribosomal RNA is filed under the name uncultured bacterium. RNAcentral describes it as "partial 16S ribosomal RNA". It matches the Rfam family "Bacterial small subunit ribosomal RNA", at positions 29 to 507 of the family's 1533-position model. The record is from RNAcentral.